RNAcentral lists this ribosomal RNA (301 nucleotides) under uncultured bacterium. RNAcentral's name for it is "partial 16S ribosomal RNA". It matches the Rfam family "Bacterial small subunit ribosomal RNA", at positions 509 to 807 of the family's 1533-position model. The record is from RNAcentral.
CAGCAGCCGCGGUAAGACGAACCGUGCGAACGUUAUUCGGAAUCACUGGGCUUAAAGCGCGUGUAGGCGGAUGGGAGCGUCGGCCUCUGAAAUCCCCCGGCUCAACCGGGGAAGUGGAGCCGAAACGACCCGUCUGGAGGGACGUAGGGGGACCUGGAACUUCCGGUGGAGCGGUGAAAUGCGUUGAGAUCGGAAGGAACGCCCGUGGCGAAAGCGAGGUCCUGGACGUCUGCUGACGCUGAGACGCGAAAGCCAGGGGAGCGAACGGGAUUAGAUACCCGCGUAGUCCCUGUCUCUUAUA